UAAAAGAUAAGCUAAAUUUAAGCUAAUGGGUUCAUACCUCGUUUAUGGACAAAAUAAAUCCUCUUUUUA
This 69-nucleotide transfer RNA is filed under the name Gaeana maculata. RNAcentral's name for it is "tRNA-Met". Lineage: Eukaryota; Metazoa; Arthropoda; Insecta; Hemiptera; Cicadidae. The record is from RNAcentral.